GUGCGGUAGUGCAAUUUCAUGGCUCACUGCAACCUCCACCUCCCAGGUUCAAGCGAUCCUCCCAUCUCAGCCUCCCUAGUAGCUGGGAUUACAGGUGCACGCCACCACACCAGGCUAAUUUUUGUAUUUUUAGUAGAGAUGGGGUUUCACCAGGUUAGCCAGGCUGGUCUUGAACUCCAGACCUCAAGGGAUCCGCCUGCCUCAGCUUUCCAAAGUGCUGGGAUUACAGGUGGAGACUGGACCUCAGAAGAGGGAGUGGGUGCCCCGAGAACUCACAGCUAGCGGACAGUGGAAAGGGCAGGAGCCGGACCAAGGCUCCGGCAUGACGGGUGACUUCUUCCGAGUCUGGCUUCUGCAGCACACAGGGCUUCGCCAGCACCCAGCUCCUGCAGCAUGGGCAGCUCCUGUGACAGCAGGCGCCCGCAGCCUGCAAAGCGUCUCCAGUGCCGCCGCCUCAGUGAACCUCAACCAGCGGCACCUAGCAGCUUUCUCUGCCACCCUCUUCAGGUAGUUCUGUAGCAGCGCGUUUCUCAUGAGACACUUCCCUGUGAGCAGCUUUUUCUACCCUUGAGGAUGGAUUUCCAGCAAAUUCUGCCCAUGUGGUACCACAGCCACUUCUCUGCCAUUCAGUGAAACUGCCGUUGUGCCCUCUUCAAGGUCUGGAUCUAAGCCCAGGGACCAGGAAACCUCUUGCUUGAGUGCUGGAACUCAGGCCAGAAGGUAUGGCUGCUGCUAUGUGCUGUGACCAGAGAAUCAGAGUUCUCUUUACUUCUUACCAGCCAACCUCUUGAAAAUGCCUUUUUGUUUUUUGUUUUUUUUUGAGACGGAGUCUCGCUCUGUUGCCCAGGCAGUGCAGUGGCUCACUGCAACCUCCGCCUCCUGAGUUCAAGUGAUUCUCCUGC
RNAcentral lists this long non-coding RNA (902 nucleotides) under Homo sapiens (human). RNAcentral's name for it is "HSALNT0384227". Lineage: Eukaryota; Metazoa; Chordata; Mammalia; Primates; Hominidae. The record is from RNAcentral.